RNAcentral lists this ribosomal RNA (340 nucleotides) under uncultured eukaryote. Its description in RNAcentral is "partial 18S ribosomal RNA". It matches the Rfam family "Eukaryotic small subunit ribosomal RNA", at positions 1470 to 1796 of the family's 1831-position model. The record is from RNAcentral.
CCCUUAGAUGUUCUGGGUCGCACGCGCGCUACACUGACGACUUCAACGAGUUUUUUUCAUUUGAAAAAGUCCUUGGCCGGAAGGUCUGGGUAAUCUUUUAAAAGGUCGUCGUGAUGGGGCUAGAUUCUUGCAAUUAUUAAUCUCCAACGAGGAAUUCCUAGUAAACGCAAGUCAUCAACUUGCAUUGAUUACGUCCCUGCCCUUUGUACACACCGCCCGUCGCACCUACCGAUUGAACGUUCCGGUGAGACCUUGGGAUUUGGUCUUUGAUACUUUAUUGUGUCGUUGACCGAAAAACUUGAGCAAACCUUAACGUUUAGAGGAAGGUGAAGUCGUAACA